AGACGUCAAGUCAUCAUGACCCUUACGAGUAGGGCUACUCACGUGCUACAAUGGCGCAUACAGAGGGCGGCCAACUUGCGAAAGUGAGCGAAUCCCAAAAAGUGCGUCGUAGUCCGGAUUGGAGUCUGCAACUCGACUCCAUGAAGUCGGAAUCGCUAGUAAUCGUGGAUCAGAAUACCACGGUGAAUACGUUCUUUGGUCGGGGAACACACCCCCCGUCACACCAUGGGAGUGGGCUGCAAAAGAAGUGGGUAGUUUAAC
Molecule: ribosomal RNA, 261 nt
Filed under: uncultured bacterium
Lineage: Bacteria
Description: partial 16S ribosomal RNA
Rfam family: Bacterial small subunit ribosomal RNA
Source: RNAcentral